CCUAGUUUCCGUGCCUAACGUUUAACCGUUCAUCUUAUUUAAAAAAAUUAUGAAAAAAAAAUUAAAAAGACAAGUCACGCACAAAGUAUUAAUUAUGUUUUAUCAUCUAACAACAAUGAAAAUACAAAUUAUAAAAAAAUUCAUAUAAGACGGACAGUUAAAGUUGGACACAGAAACCCAGAGUUUGUUUUUUU
Molecule: microRNA precursor, 194 nt
Filed under: Oryza barthii
Lineage: Eukaryota; Viridiplantae; Streptophyta; Magnoliopsida; Poales; Poaceae
Description: MIR812 microRNA precursor family
Rfam family: MIR812 microRNA precursor family
Source: Rfam by way of RNAcentral